Molecule: microRNA precursor, 88 nt
Filed under: Tupaia belangeri chinensis (Chinese tree shrew)
Lineage: Eukaryota; Metazoa; Chordata; Mammalia; Scandentia; Tupaiidae
Description: Tupaia chinensis (Chinese tree shrew) mir-544 microRNA precursor family
Rfam family: mir-544 microRNA precursor family
Source: Rfam by way of RNAcentral
AUUACUUGGGGAUCUUGCCAAAUGCAGAUUCUGAUUGGGAGUUGGGCCCAAGAUUCUGCAUUUGCAGCAAGCACCCAAGUGAUGCGAU